This 708-nucleotide ribosomal RNA is filed under the name uncultured bacterium. RNAcentral's name for it is "bacterial SSU rRNA". It matches the Rfam family "Bacterial small subunit ribosomal RNA", at positions 63 to 773 of the family's 1533-position model. The record is from RNAcentral.
CGAAGCAUUUAAGGACGAUUCUUCGGAUGAGGACUUUUAUGACUGAGUGGCGGACGGGUGAGUAACGCGUGGGUAACCUGCCCUAUACAGGGGGAUAACAGUUAGAAAUGACUGCUAAUACCGCAUAAGCGCACUAGAACCGCAUGGUUCGGUGUGAAAAACUGAGGUGGUAUAGGAUGGACCCGCGUCUGAUUAGCUUGUUGGUGGGGUAACGGCUCAUCAAGGCGACGAUCAGUAGCCGGCCUGAGAGGGCGACCGGCCACAUUGGGACUGAGACACGGCCCAAACUCCUACGGGAGGCAGCAGUGGGGAAUAUUGCACAAUGGGGGAAACCCUGAUGCAGCGACGCCGCGUGAGUGAAGAAGUAUUUCGGUAUGUAAAGCUCUAUCAGCAGGGAAGAAAAUGACGGUACCUGACUAAGAAGCCCCGGCUAACUACGUGCCAGCAGCCGCGGUAAUACGUAGGGGGCAAGCGUUAUCCGGAUUUACUGGGUGUAAAGGGAGCGUAGGUGGCAUGGUAAGCCAGAAGUGAAAACCCAGGGCUCAACUCUGUGGAUUGCUUUUGGAACUAUCAAGCUAGAGUGCUGGAGGGGUAAGCGGAAUUCCUAGUGUAGCGGUGAAAUGCGUAGAUAUUAGGAGGAACACCGGUGGCGAAGGCGGCUUACUGGACAGAAACUGACACUGAGGCUCGAAAGCGUGGGGAGCAAAC